AUGGCUUCACUUCAUAACCUAACACUUUCUGAAAAAGUGCUGACAAAUCAUCCCAGCUGGACAAAGUUUAAUUUCCUAGAUAUGUCUCUAGAUGACAUUAUAAUCUAUAAAAAGUUAGAAGAGAUAAACGCUGAAAAAGAAUAAAAGAACCAUAGUAAAAAGGAUUCACCUUCAAGACAGCAAUCAAAUGCUCAUGGACAUCACCAGCAGAGAGGAUACCCAAGAUUCAGAAGCAACUCUGAGGAAGGAAAUUAUGAUUAAAAAAAAAAAAAAAACCAUCCCAAGAAACUUCUGGAUUCAAGUCUGGACGGCACCCUUUAAAUGGGCAGCCUUUAACUGAUCAG
RNAcentral lists this long non-coding RNA (344 nucleotides) under Homo sapiens (human). RNAcentral describes it as "non-protein coding lnc-MLLT10-4:1". The record is from RNAcentral. Lineage: Eukaryota; Metazoa; Chordata; Mammalia; Primates; Hominidae.